RNAcentral lists this ribosomal RNA (590 nucleotides) under Sphingomonadaceae bacterium Ri3Pt_4337. RNAcentral's name for it is "bacterial SSU rRNA". It matches the Rfam family "Bacterial small subunit ribosomal RNA", at positions 406 to 1006 of the family's 1533-position model. The record is from RNAcentral. Lineage: Bacteria; Pseudomonadati; Pseudomonadota; Alphaproteobacteria; Sphingomonadales; Sphingomonadaceae.
UGAUGAAGGCCUAUAGGGUUGUAAAGCUCUUUUACCCGGGAUGAUAAUGUCGGUACCGGGAGAAUAAGCUCCGGCUAACUCCGUGCCAGCAGCCGCGGUAAUACGGAGGGAGCUAGCGUUAUUCGGAAUUACUGGGCGUAAAGCGCACGUAAGCGGCUUUGUAAGUUAGAGGUGAAAGCCUGGAGCUCAACUCCAGAAUUGCCUUUAAGACUGCAUCGCUUGAAUCCAGGAGAGGUGAGUGGAAUUCCGAGUGUAGAGGUGAAAUUCAAAGAUAUUCGGAAGAACACCAGUGGCGAAGGCGGCUCACAGGACUGGUAUUGACGCUGAGGUGCUAAAGCGUGGGGAGCAAACAGGAUUAAAUACCCUGGUAGUCCACGCCGUAAACGAUGAUGACUAGCUGUCGGGGCUCAUAGAGCUUCGGUGGCGCAGCUAACGCAUUAAGUUAUCCGCCUGGGGAGUACGGCCGCAAGGUUAAAACUCAAAUGAAUUGACGGGGGCCUGCACAAGCGGUGGAGACAUGUGGUUUAAUUCGAAGCAGACGCGCAGAACCUUACCAGGCGUUCUGACAUGUCCGAGACUUAUCUUCCAGA